Molecule: ribosomal RNA, 254 nt
Filed under: uncultured bacterium
Lineage: Bacteria
Description: partial 16S ribosomal RNA
Rfam family: Bacterial small subunit ribosomal RNA
Source: RNAcentral
UACGUAGGUGGCGAGCGUUGUCCGGAUUUAUUGGGCGUACAGCGCGCGCAGGCGGUGCGCUAAGUCUGCGGUGAAAUCUCCCUGGCUCAACCGGGAGGGGGCCGUGGAGACUGGCGCACUGGAGGGACCUAGAGGCCGGUGGAAUUCCUGGUGUAGCGGUGAAAUGCGCAGAUAUCAGGAAGAACACCCGUGGCUAAGGCGGCUCUCUAGUACGGUACUGACGCUGAGACGCGAAAGCGUGGGGAGCAAACAGG